Arvicola amphibius (Eurasian water vole) is the source of this 1236-nucleotide long non-coding RNA. RefSeq lists it as uncharacterized. The transcript has 3 exons. The record is from RefSeq and is a predicted model, not a curated record. NCBI's taxonomy places the organism in Eukaryota, Metazoa, Chordata, Mammalia, Rodentia, Cricetidae.
UCAGGAGCUCAUUCAUGAGUUUUGUUUACUUUUUUUUAUUAUUUUGUUGAAGCCAGGUAUGGUGAUACACAUCUGUGAUUCUGAUACUUGGAAGACAAAGGCAGGAGGAUGGAUUUAAACUCAAGGCCAGCCUAAGCUACAUACUGAGACAUAUUUUAAAAAAAAAGAAAGAAAAGAAAAGAAAAAGAGAAAAAGAAAUUCACAUAAACUAAAGGAUUCAGUGGCAUGUUUCCUACAACAUGCCUGACUUGUCUCCACUCAAGGGUUUAGGGAUCAUCCGUAUCGUAGCAUAGUCAACUCCAUUCCUCUUUAUGGGGAGGACAAUGUUACCACUGCAAGGGGAAGCUGAGGACAAAGGGCCCUUUGUGAGGAUGGUCCCCACCUGAGCAGCAGCACCCUGGGUCGCACCUGAUGGUGGAGCAGCCCUUCCUCUCCUUCCAGCCCCUGCGCGGAGCCAGCUUCCAGAAAUGACCUGGGGACCUGGGGAAACUGUGCAGGCCUGAACUGACUUCUCCAAAUGACUCUGCUGGCCCAUCCCAAGCCUGGCACAUCCCAGUGAGAAGGAGAGGCAGGGACAAUGGUUCCUAGUGAAGGACCUGGAUACAGGAUAUACAGGUUUCUUCCCUCAGUGUCUAAAGUUUGAGACCUUGGGCGGAUGCUGGCCUGUGGGAGGCCUGGCAGGUGGGAAGUAUUUGUCUUAUCCAUUGCAACAUCUGUAUGGGACAUACUUCACAGCUGGACUCCCAAGGGAGUGUUUCUGAAGAAAAAGAAAAGGCAACUUAAAAAAACCAAACACUUUAUGGGAUGUAUUUAUAUGCUGGUACUCCACUAUCGGGGAGACUGGAGGCUGGGAAGAGUCCUAACAGCUGCACACCAGUCCUUACCCAGAAGAGGUUCACUGUGGGUGUGGAGGUAUAAACACCAUUGGGUUGUUUGAUGAUACAAACAUUGGUAAUUUAUAUGCCAACACAGCAAGAGCAAAAAUGAGAUACUAAAGACAGAUUGUUAAAAAAAACAGUAGAGGUAAUUCACAAGAUAAGGCACAAGAUCUCUAAGACAUACAGAGUCUGAACGAGGAAUGAAGGAAAUCCCGCAACUCCCCCAGCGGUGCCUGAGAGCCCCGUAGUUUGCCGGAGAACCCCUAGGCUGGUGGAACCGUUGCCCUGCACACACCCUUUCUCCUGCUGCAGAGCACCUCUCCAGUAUCAUUUGUGUGCAGGGCCCUAGUGGCCCCUA